UACGGAGGGUGCAAGCGUUGUCCGGAAUCACUGGGCGUAAAGGGCGCGUAGGCGGCUCGGGAAGUAGGGGGUGAAAUCCUGCGGCUUAACCGCAGGGCUGCCUUCUAAACUGUCGAGCUCGAGCACGGUAGAGGCAGAUGGAAUUCCCGGUGUAGCGGUGGAAUGCGUAGAGAUCGGGAAGAACAUCAGUGGCGAAGGCGGUCUGCUGGGCCGUUGCUGACGCUGAGGCGCGACAGCGUGGGGAGCAAACAGG
Molecule: ribosomal RNA, 253 nt
Filed under: uncultured bacterium
Lineage: Bacteria
Description: partial 16S ribosomal RNA
Rfam family: Bacterial small subunit ribosomal RNA
Source: RNAcentral